CCGGUCCCGGUGCCUCCGUGACACGUGACCCUAUGACCCAAGAAGCCAUUUUAAGGCUGGCCUCAUAGAGGAAACUACAACUCCCAGAAUGCCUGCGCUUUGCGUCGUGCUGGCACUUUCACUGGCCCAGCCUUAAAGGCGAGCCUGUAGCCGGGCGCCAUCUUUGACGCUGGCAGUCCUGGGUUUCUGCUUGUUCGGCUGCUGUGAGGACGGCGGGCGACCGCAGCUAAGAAAAGAGAAAGACGUGGCAGCACGCGGGAGUCGGAGACAUUGUCAUCGGUUCGGUAAAGUUUCUGUUCUCUGGAUUGGUGAGAUCGUACGAAGAACACCCCUUAGACGCCCAUAAUCGGUGCGGAUCCCCAUGGGGAAGGCUCGUUUUGUUGACAUCUACCAGGCAUUGGUUCUGAACCCAGAGAAGGCGGCUGUGCAGCUAGUGGUAGCCAUGCUUUCGUAGGGUAAACGUGUUGGUAUUGAGGGGAGGGGAGGGAGCCCACGGAAAAGGAAUGGAAGUGGUUUAAAGCUUAUUUUAGUUUGGCUGCUCAUAGAAUGUCAAUUUAUGAGUUAUUUACAGGUUGUAUGUAAUGUUGCUUCAGUCUAAAAAUAUGAACUCUUGAUAGAAACCGUAAAUGAAGAAUAUAGCUUGUUACCUUGUUUUGAAAUUUUAUUUCCAGUUAAUUUUUCUUCAGCCACCUAUAUUUUUCAAAAUAUCAGAACAGAAAGGGCACAGCUAGAGUUUACUGCUAAUGCCUAGUAUGUGGAAUCUGAUUUAGCUGGCCGGAAUUGACUUUUUAGGUUGUAUUGGCAAGUCAGUCUUAAAUGAUGACUGUUGAGUGGUGCACUAAGCUUAAGUGAAAUUUCCUGAAAAUAUUCCCGAAGUUAAGGGAAAGCCAGUGUUGUUGUCGUGUGGAUUCACUAAAAGUACAUAUUUUAAGAACUGAAGGCAUUUCCAGCAGAUGAAGUUCUUGAUUCGGCAGCAAGAACGUGAACCUGCGAUUUGGAAGACUUAACCUUUAGUUGCUCCAGAUCCCAUGACGGUGGGAAAAUGGGCCUCGGUUCUCUUUUCUAUAACAUAAGGACACUGGACGAUUUGAAUUUGAAAGUUACAAGAACUCCUAAAGCC
RNAcentral lists this long non-coding RNA (1120 nucleotides) under Mus spicilegus (steppe mouse). RNAcentral's name for it is "lncRNA (ENSMSIG00000018719.1)". The record is from RNAcentral. Lineage: Eukaryota; Metazoa; Chordata; Mammalia; Rodentia; Muridae.